GAUGAACGCUGGCGGCGUGCCUAAUACAUGCAAGUCGAGCGAACAGACGCUGAGCUUGCUCCUCUCACGUUAGCCGCGCACGUGUGUGUAACACGUGGAUAACCCACCUAUAAGACUGGGAUAACUUCGGGAAACCGGCGCUAAUACCGUAUAAUAUAUUGAACCGUAUUGUUCAAUAGUGAAAGACGGUUUUGCUGUCACUAAUCGCUGGAUCUGCGCUGCAUUAGAUAGUUGUUAAGGUAACGGCUUACCAAGGCAAGGAUGCGUAGACGACGUGAGAGGGUGAUAGGCCACACUGGAACGGAGACACGGUCAAGAGGACUAAGAGAGGCAGCAGUAGGGAAUCUUACGCAGUGGGCGAAAGCAUGGCGGAGCAACGCGACGUGAGUGAUGAAAAUGUUCGGAGCGUAAAAAUCUGUUAUGAGGGAAAAACAGAUGUGUAAGUAAAUAUGCACGGAGUGACGGUACCUAAUCAGAAAGCCACGGCUAACUACGUG
Molecule: ribosomal RNA, 497 nt
Filed under: uncultured bacterium
Lineage: Bacteria
Description: partial 16S ribosomal RNA
Rfam family: Bacterial small subunit ribosomal RNA
Source: RNAcentral